UGGGGAAUAUUGCGCAAUGGGGGGAACCCUGACGCAGCCAUGCCCGCGUGAAUGAAGAAGGCCUUAGGGUUGUAAAGUUCUUUCGGUAUUGAGGAAGGUUGAUGUGUUAAUAGCACAUCAAAUUGACGUUAAAUACAGAAGAAGCACCGGCUAACUCCGUGCCAGCAGCCGCGGUAAUACGGAGGGUGCGAGCGUUAAUCGGAAUAACUGGGCGUAAAGGGCACGCAGGCGGUUAUUUAAGUGAGGUGUGAAAGCCCCGGGCUUAACCUGGGAAUUGCAUUUCAGACUGGGUAACUAGAGUACUUUAGGGAGGGGUAGAAUUCCACGUGUAGCGGUGAAAUGCGUAGAGAUGUGGAGGAAUACCGAAGGCGAAGGCAGCCCCUUGGGAAUGUACUGACGCUCAUGUGCGAAAGCGUGGGGAGCAAACAGGAUUAGAUACCCUGGUAGUCCACGCUGUAAACGCUGUCGAUUUGGGGGUUGGGGUUUAACUCUGGCGCCCGUAGCUAACGUGAUAAAUCGACCGCCUGGGGAGUACGGCCGCAAGNUA
This 547-nucleotide ribosomal RNA is filed under the name uncultured bacterium. RNAcentral describes it as "bacterial SSU rRNA". It matches the Rfam family "Bacterial small subunit ribosomal RNA", at positions 355 to 895 of the family's 1533-position model. The record is from RNAcentral.